Long non-coding RNA from Ricinus communis (castor bean), 575 nucleotides. RefSeq lists it as uncharacterized. The record is from RefSeq and is a predicted model, not a curated record. Lineage: Eukaryota; Viridiplantae; Streptophyta; Magnoliopsida; Malpighiales; Euphorbiaceae. The transcript is spliced from 2 exons.
UCAAGAAAAGAAAACCCUUUUUGGCAUUGCACUCCGGUAACUACUAUAAUACAUGAUUAUCAAGAAACAAGAAUCUUAUAUCUAUGAUGAGCAAUAGACUAUUACUUGAACCACCAUAAAGGAAAGAAAGAAAAAGAGAAAGAAAGAAGAAGAUGAAGAAGAAGUAAUUGGAAGACACAAAUAAGACAAUGAAGUGGGUCAAAGAGAUGGGAACACAUGGAUGAAUCUAGUUACUGGAAUUGGCCCUAUAAGAGCUAUAAAGUGGUGGUGAAUGGAAAGAUGGUCCAGGAUUGCAAAUACCAGCACACCAUUUGCAUUCUCUUUUUUUCUUUUUAAGCCUUAUUUGAGUCCAUUAGCUUUUGCUAGAAUAUGCUACUGCCAUUGCUACCAAAGUUUGGCACAUUAUUUGAUGCAUUUGCUUGUCCUAGAAUAUUGCCAUUGCUACUAACCUUUGGCACAUUAUUUGAUGCAUUCUUUUUAUUAUAUCUGUUCCUUUUUUGUAAAGGAAGAUAAAAUGAUUGUACCCAAGAUCAGAUUUUCUUCUCCUUUUUCUUUGAAGAAAACAUUUUUGUUCA